This 479-nucleotide long non-coding RNA is filed under the name Vulpes vulpes (red fox). RNAcentral's name for it is "lncRNA (ENSVVUG00000000424.1)". Lineage: Eukaryota; Metazoa; Chordata; Mammalia; Carnivora; Canidae. The record is from RNAcentral.
AUGGGACACCAGAGGUGUCUGCCACCAAAUCAGAAGAGGAAACUAUGCUGGAAUUGGACAGGAACGCCCCUCACUCAGCAGCAGGUGGACAUGGCUGUGGGUCAGGACCUCCUGCUUCAUGGGGAAGCCUUGUCUGUCAUCAGCACCACUGAUUUGGACCACGUAACCCUUCUAUUCUUCACUCAGAGGAGCAUCAGCAGCGUCUGUGGCCAUACACUUCUCAUAACAGGUAUGAAGUUUGAGUUCAUCAUCUACUUCAAUGAGUUUCUGGCAGCCAGUAGCUGGGUAAAAGAUGUUCAGCUUCAUCUUGAAGCAGCCUACUGCCUCUGAGGUACUAGAAAAAAGAACAAUUGUGAUCCUAUGUUUUACUGCAUCAUGGCUCUCCUCCCCCAAAUAAGAGGAACCUUCCCACUCUAUGCAGCAAUGCCUCAGUGAUAAGGAGCAAUAAAGAUUCAUGAAUUCUCUAUUUAUUGGUGCUG